RNAcentral lists this ribosomal RNA (564 nucleotides) under uncultured Glomeromycotina. RNAcentral's name for it is "eukaryotic LSU rRNA". It matches the Rfam family "Eukaryotic large subunit ribosomal RNA", at positions 293 to 766 of the family's 3401-position model. The record is from RNAcentral. Lineage: Eukaryota; Fungi; Glomeromycota.
UGGGUGGUAAAUUUCACCUAAGGCUAAAUAUAUGCAAGAGACCGAUAGCGAACAAGUACCGUGAGGGAAAGAUGAAAAGAACUUUGAAAAGAGAGUUAAACAGUACGUGAGAUUGUUGAAAGGGAAACGAUUGAAGUCAGUCAUGCUGGUGAGGAAUCAACUUGGUGGUUUACUUCCUCGUGCAUUUUCUCGCUUGCCAGGUUAGCAUCAAUUUUGGUUGUCAUCAAAGGAUUGGGGGAAUGUGGCUUUUCUUCGGUAAAGUGUUAUAGACCCUGAUUGAUGUGACGACCGGGAUUGAGGUUUGCAGCGGAUGCCUUUUGGCUAGUCACCUGUCUUCUGACCGUCACCUCGCUCUUGACAGCUUGCUGAUGAUUGUGGGAUUUGGCGACCUAGAAGUUAGAGUGAACAUAAAUUCGCUAAGGAUGCUGACGUAAUGGCUUUAAACGACCCGUCUUGAAACACGGACCAAGGAGUCUAACAUAUGUGCGAGUGUUUGGGUGACAAAACCCGGAACGCGUAAUGAAAGUGAUUCUGGUGGGAACCCCUCGGGGUGCACCAUCGACC